RNAcentral lists this ribosomal RNA (410 nucleotides) under Myrmecia israelensis. RNAcentral's name for it is "LSU rRNA". It matches the Rfam family "Bacterial large subunit ribosomal RNA", at positions 451 to 859 of the family's 2925-position model. Lineage: Eukaryota; Viridiplantae; Chlorophyta; Trebouxiophyceae; Trebouxiales; Trebouxiaceae. The record is from RNAcentral.
GACCACCUCGUAAGGCAAAAUACUUUUGGAUGACCGAUAGCGAAAUAGUACUGUGAGGGUAAGGUGAAAAAGAACCUCUCUAGAGGAGUGAAAUAGAACAUGAAACCAUAAGCUUUCAAGCAGUGGGAGGGUUUGAAAACCUGACCGCGUGCCUGUUGAAGCAUGAGCCGGCGACUUAUAAGGAGUGGCUUGGUUAAAUAGUAAAAUCUGAAGCCAGAGCGAAAGCAAGUCUUAAAAGGGCAUUUUAAGGUCACUUCUUAUGGACCCGAACCCGGGUGAUCUAACCAUGGCCAGGAUGAAGCUUGGGUAAAACCAAGUGGAAGUCCGAACCGACCGAUGUUGAAAAAUCGGCGGAUGAGCUGUGGUUAGGGGUGAAAUGCCAAUCGGACUCGGAGCUAGCUGGUUCUCCC